CUCUGCCUCUGUGGUGGAUAGUGGAGUGUUUCCCAUGUGGUAUUGGUGUGCUGGAUAUCCCUUCACUGGUAGCCUGAUAACAUAUACUCCCAUGUCUUUCUCUGCCUCUGUGGUGGAUAGUGGAGUGUUUCCCAUGUGGUAUUGGUGUGCUGGAUAUCCCUUCACUGGUAGCCUGGUAACAUACACUCCAAGGUCUUUCUCUGCCUCUGUGGUGGAUAGUGGAGUGUUUCCCAUGUGGUAUUGGUGUGCUGGAUAUCCCUUCACUGGUAGCCUGAUAACAUAUACUCCCAUGUCUUUCUCUGCCUCUGUGGUGGAUAGUGGAGUGUUUCCCAUGUGGUAUUGGUGUGCUGGAUAUCCCUUCACUGGUAGCCUGGUAACAUACACUCCCAGGUCUUUCUCUGCCUCUGUGGUGGAUAGUGGAGUGUUUCCCAUGUGGUAUUGGUGUGCUGGAUAUCCCUUCACUGGUAGCCUGAUAACAUAUACUCCCAUGUCUUUCUCUGCCUCUGUGGUGGAUAGUGGAGUGUUUCCCAUGUGGUAUUGGUGUGCUGGAUAUCCCUUCACUGGUAGCCUGGUAACAUACACUCCCAUGUCUUUCUCUGCCUCUGUGGUGGAUAGUGGAGUGUUUCCCAUGUGGUAUUGGUGUGCUGGAUAUCCCUUCACUGGUAGCCUGGUAACAUACACUCCCAGGUCUUUCUCUGCCUCUGUGGUGGAUAGUGGAGUGUUUCCCAUGUGGUAUUGGUGUGCUGGAUAUCCCUUCACUGGUAGACUGGUAACAUACACUCCCAGGUCUUUCUCUGCCUCUGUGGUGGAUAGUGGAGUGUUUCCCAUGUGGUAUUGGUGUGCUGGAUAUCCCCUCCCAAGCUGCAGGACUUUACAAAUUUUCUUCAUUGAAUUGUAGCCACAGACACCCCACCCCAUUCCUAUAGGUUGGUGAGGUCUUCUGGUAGGAAAUCCACAGUCAAGUGGCUAAUUUUCAAGGUGCAGGGUUAGGAAGGGACGACCCCAAGUGAGGCGAGUUUUGUGUGUAAAGUCCCGCCUAGGAUUGUUAAGGGUUGCCAAGGGGGUUGUAUGGUAACAGGGUUAUCAAGGAGUGACUGAGGGGCCAGGCUUAGAGCUGUAACAUUAUUGUGUUGAAUUUAGGCAACAGUCAAAGGAAUGUAUUGUUUUAUAAGGUAUCAAUAUUUAUACAGCUUAUUAAUCCCUCACUUAAU
This is a long non-coding RNA of Eriocheir sinensis (Chinese mitten crab), 1211 nucleotides long. RefSeq lists it as uncharacterized. The transcript has 3 exons. Lineage: Eukaryota; Metazoa; Arthropoda; Malacostraca; Decapoda; Varunidae. The record is from RefSeq and is a predicted model, not a curated record.